GACGAACGCUGGCGGCGUGCUUAACACAUGCAAGUCGAACGGAAAGGCCCUGCUUUUGUGGGGUGCUCGAGUGGCGAACGGGUGAGUAACACGUGAGUAACCUGCCCUUGACUUUGGGAUAACUUCAGGAAACUGGGGCUAAUACCGGAUAGGAGCUCCUGCUGCAUGGUGGGGGUUGGAAAGUUUCGGCGGUUGGGGAUGGACUCGCGGCUUAUCAGCUUGUUGGUGGGGUAGUGGCUUACCAAGGCUUUGACGGGUAGCCGGCCUGAGAGGGUGACCGGCACAAUGGGGCAGAGGAGUGGGCCCAGAAUCGUAGGGGAGGGAGAGGGGGGGAAUUUGGAACAAGGGGGGGAAGCCGGAGGCAGAAAGCCCCGGGGGGGGAUGACGGCCUUGGGGUUGUAAACCGUUUUCGCCUGGGCCGAAGGGGGAGGGGCGGUAAUGGGAAAAGAAGAAGCGGCGAACUACGU
RNAcentral lists this ribosomal RNA (467 nucleotides) under uncultured bacterium. RNAcentral describes it as "partial 16S ribosomal RNA". It matches the Rfam family "Bacterial small subunit ribosomal RNA", at positions 28 to 506 of the family's 1533-position model. The record is from RNAcentral.